AUGCUAGAGCACUUUUUCAAUGUGCUCCCCAACAAGAAAGCGAUGACGCAUUCGUAUGUCAAUACAUAUCAACUUUCGAUGCCAUUGACUGAGCCUAGCAUGGUGACCACAGGUAACGGGGAAUCAGGGUUCGAUUCCAUACAGGGACCCUGACAAACGGCUACCACAUGCAAGGAAGGCA
Non-coding RNA from Pelobates cultripes (western spadefoot toad), 181 nucleotides. NCBI's taxonomy places the organism in Eukaryota, Metazoa, Chordata, Amphibia, Anura, Pelobatidae. The record is from the annotation of a GenBank genome assembly.